AUCAUGCCCAUUUGUUUUUUGGCUACCACAAGGUUAGCAGCUUUGUUCAACAAUGCCGUGAUCGGAUGGAUGUUGCCAUUAGCCCAGAGACAGUGCAAGCUGCCAGUCGCUGGAACUUCUGAAACAAUGAGCCAAAGUGAAUCACCUUCCUUCAAACUGUUCCAGGUCUUUGUCAUAGCAACAGGAAGAGUGACAGCCAUACGAUACUGAUAUCCAGAGAAGUAAGGUUGCUUCUAUAACCCUGUGUAAUGUUCAGAAGUCUUUGGAACUGAACUUCUGUGGGAGAAGAAAAAUAUGUGGACCAGUGGAGUAGAAGUCUCUAAACAGAAGCUACUGGGAAAUUCUUGGGAUGGCUUAGAAGACUAAAAGAUGGGACGAACUCAGCCAGAAAGGCAGGGUCUUUUUCAGAACUAAGAGCUCACCAAAUCUAGCUAUGCUAGCUAGUCAUCUUGCUCCAUGAAUUCUGUUUUCCUUGGAAGCCCAGGAUUGCAUGUAGCUGUCAUGCCUACUCAGCUUUAGAGGAACACUUAGGAAAUUACUGAAGUAUGCCUGUGAAUGUGAAGUGACAAGACUUUUCUUGGGAAGACUCAACACAACACCUAGGGAGGAAACCCACAGGCAGACCAAAGUCCAGCUUGGCGAAUCAUGAGUUUUAUUGGGGUCAUUUAUAUGAAUAAAGGUUAAGGGUUACUUAUAGGAGGAGAAAUGACUCAAAGACACAGCACCACCAAAGUCCACCCCAGCACGAGUGACUGGAGCACACUGAACAACUUACAGGCACCUCAACAGGCCUAAAAGUAUCAGAGUCCCCAGUCAUAGGUAGAAAGCUCUGAAACCACAAAUCCAAACAUUGUUCCCUCAGGAACUUUUCACGGAGAUUGAAGACUUUCUGACGCAUUGUUUCUCACCGUUUCCCUCCUCCAAAUUUUCAGUAUUUCCUGUGUGUCAAAGCAAAGAUUCUCAUCAAGUCUUCUGCAUACUACACCAGUCCCUGAAGCAAGCCCGCUCGUAACAAGACAGAAAUAUGUUUUGACCACGGUUUUCCUGCCCAUGGAUAUGGUCACCGUGUCUGGUGGUUUUUGCAAGGCUCAAGUGGAUUAACUGCUUCCCAGCCUUAGAGACUUGGAUGAACUCUCAAGCAGAAUCUCAUGGCAGAUGGCUGGGAACCUCGCUCAUUAGAAUACUCCCUGUUCCAGAGCUGAGGCACGUUUAGAGGGCAGGUCCUAAACUUCAAUCUCUCCUUUGCUGGAUCUUCGCUGGAAGCAGGCAUCCUCACUUGGAGCAUCAAGAGGAUGACAGUGGGCCAAGGUACACAGAGCUGAAUGAAGAGCAAGCAUAUCUUCUUGGACUACACAUGUUAGUAGGAGAUUUUGG
Molecule: long non-coding RNA, 1374 nt
Filed under: Cricetulus griseus (Chinese hamster)
Lineage: Eukaryota; Metazoa; Chordata; Mammalia; Rodentia; Cricetidae
Description: lncRNA (ENSCGRG00015032265.1)
Source: RNAcentral